This 1203-nucleotide long non-coding RNA is filed under the name Nicotiana benthamiana. RNAcentral describes it as "long non-coding RNA (NBEN_LNC016361)". The record is from RNAcentral. Lineage: Eukaryota; Viridiplantae; Streptophyta; Magnoliopsida; Solanales; Solanaceae.
UUCUUAGACUUUGGAAAAAAAAAAAAACAAACAAGAGACCAAAAUAAUUUUAUGGCAGCUUCUUCUUCAUUUUUUUUCGCCUCCACAAUGACCCCCCGUCGAUCUCGAUCAGAUUUUCGUUUCUUUGCUUGAGGGUCCAAAAACCUUGGACCCUAUCUUCUUCUUAAAUUAGAAAGACACACAAAUAUACAGAUAGCUAAGAGGGGAGGAGGAAGGAAUUGGUCACAAACAAAGAACGAUAUAAAGCUUCUUCCGAUUUUCGAUUUCGAAACCAUCGAAUUCGACGGAGUUUCAUUGAGGUCGUCAAGUGCUCGAGUUUUCCGAUUUCGGACCUUAUUCCUAUCACCAUUGCUAUAACUAAAAGAGUAUUACACCUUGAGGUCCAUUUCUUAUCUCUGUCUUUAAUUAAUGCGACUAUUGGUGUUCUACACUGCUUUGGGUUCGAGUGAAUCUGAUUCUGAAUGAAUUUGUCAUGGUCUUGAAUUAAUUUUCCCAUGUUUUUUUUGUACUGUUAUCAUUUAAAAUUAGUAUAUAAUUGUGGUGAAUGCUGAUUGUUGGAAUAGUCAACACAUGGAGUAAGUGGUUUAUGUCGUUAUGCUUUUGUAUUUCUGGUAACUCUCAAAAGACUAAUAAUAUUAGGAACCUUAAAAAUCUCCUAAGAAUAAAACUAUAUUUAGACUGAAUGUCUAUCUUAUAGAGAGUUUUACUUUGGGGUUAAGUCAUUUUUUCUCAUAUAAAUAGAGGGGUCUUACCCCAUUGUAAAUCACCCCAAAAUUCAAUAAGAGUUUUCUUUCUCUCUUUCUCUACAAUAUUGCUCUUGUUCGUUUAUUAUUUCAUAACAAGUUGUGCCUUUUAAUAGUUAGUAUAUGCGAAUUGUAUAUUAUCCGAUAUAAUUGAAGAUCAUAUCCUGAAAGUCGCGAGCAAUUGAGUACAAUUAUAUGCAUAUAAAUUUAACUGCUUUACUUAUAUUUUCUGCUUGAUAUAUAUGGAAAUAGAACGAUAGAGAAAUAGUAACAGAAAUACGAACAAAGUGGUUGAGUUGGAUUGAACUCUGCAAUAUUGUUCUUAUUAUUUUAUUGUUUCAUAACACGUUAUCAUCACGAGACUCUAAUCAAUUAAGUAGAAGCUUUGAGAUUGAGUAUAAUGAUUGUUAAUCGUUCUAUGAACUUCCUUCAAGAUUAAUUCUGGAUUUAAGGUAAGUAU